CCCCUCCCUCCCACCUCACAUUCCUACCAGUGCCAAAGAAUGAAAGACAGAGAGAAGGGGGGGGGUAUACAAGAAACAAAACCAGAGAAGAGGUAUGGGAAUGUGGUACUCUAAACAACACCAUAUCUUGACUUGAUUGUGACGCCUCUUCUUCCUUAGUCCUGACCAAUCGCUGUGGCUUGUCGUUGUGUGUGUGUGUGUGUCUAAUGCCCACUUUGAAGACAGGACCGUAUCCAUGACAGGUAGCCGUGACAACUGUGGUCAUGACGACGGCUCGCAUAGUAGCAAAGAGGCGUGACAACAGCCAAAUGCCCAUGGGAUUGUGAUGUAAAAAAAUAAAAUAAAAAAUAAAAAAACAGAAUAUAGACAAUGUGCACAAGGGGGAAAUACUAAUAUGAGCACACACAUUCCUUCUCCGGGUGCCACCCACACACAUUGCACCAGUCCAAGGCAUCUUGGUCCCUUAGCUUUCCCACUCAGUAAUUUAUUUUGUUUUGUGACCACCACAUUCACACACCACCUUUUUCCACCAACCCACUCUGCUAUUGUACUAACUACGGAUCUCAGUCCCUCCCACUCAAAACUAUCCUACCCCACAAAUACACUCCUUAUAGAGGCUUUCACAUCGACUCUGGAUCCAUAUCUCCCACUCAAAUUUGAGUGUGUCAUUCCACUCCAUGAGUCUCUUAAUCUGGUAGUGUCAUUCCACUCCAUGAGUCUCUUAAUCUGGUAGUGUCAUUCCACUCCAUGAGUCUCUUAAUCUGGUAGUGUCAUUCCACUCCAUGAGUCUCUUAAUCUGGUAGUGUCAUUCCACUCCAUGAGUCUCUUAAUCUGGUAGUGUCAUUCCACUCCAUGAGUCUCUUAAUCUGGUAGUGUCAUUCCACUCCAUGAGUCUCUUAAUCUGGUAGUGUCAUUCCACUCCAUGAGUCUCUUAAUCUGGUAGUGUCAUUCCACUCCAUGAGUCUCUUAAUCUGGUAGUGUCAUUCCACUCCAUGAGUCUCUUAAUCUGGUAGUGUCAUUCCACUCCAUGAGUCUCUUAAUCUGGUAGUGUCAUUCCACUCCAUGAGUCUCUUAAUCUGGUAGUGUCAUUCCACUCCAUGAGUCUCUUAAUCUGGUAGUGUCAUUCCACUCCAUGAGUCUCUUAAUCUGGUAGUGUCAUUCCACUCCAUGAGUCUCUUAAUCUGGUAGUGUCAUUCCACUCCAUGAGUCUCUUAAUCUGGUAGUGUCAUUCCACUCCAUGAGUCUCUUAAUCUGGUAGUGUCAUUCCACUCCAUGAGUCUCUUAAUCUGGUAGUGUCAUUCCACUCCAUGAGUCUCUUAAUCUGGUAGUGUCAUUCCACUCCAUGAGUCCCUUAAUCUGGUAGUGUCAUUCCACUCCACGAGUCUCUUAAUCUGGUAGUUUCAUUCCACUCCAUGAGCCUCUUAAUCUGUUAGUGCCAUUGGUUUUGAACCCACCAGAUAUCCACUCUUCCCCUCAAACACUAUAGUGUUUUGAACCCACCAGAGAUCCACUCUUCCCCUAACACACUAUAGUGUUCUGAUCCACUCUUCCCAUCAAAACACUAUAGUGUUCUGAACCCACCAGAGAUCCACUCUUCCCCUCAAACACUAUAGUGUUCUGAACCCACCAGAGAUCCACUCUUCCCCUCACUAGUGUUUUAUGUUUAGUGACCCACAGAUAUUGCGUCCCAAAUGAAACCCUAUCAUUUAAGUAGUGCACUACAUCAGGGCCCUGGUUAAAUGUAGUGCUCUAGAAAGGGAAUAGGGUGCUAUAGGCCCUAGUUAAAAGAAGUGCGCUAGAUAGGGAAUAGGGUGCUAUAGGCCCUGGUUAAAAGAAGUGGACUAGAUAGGGAAUAGGGUGCUAUAGACCCUGGUUAAAAUUAGUGCACUACAUAGGGAAUAGGGUGCCAUUUGGGCCACACAGACCCACUCCAUGCUCAUUUAAAUGACCACAGACAGAGCGGUCUGUUGACCACAGCACUUUAAUCACCACCAGCCAGGCCAAGCUAAGCGAUCACAGAUCUGUGCCAGGCCAAGCUAAGCGAUCACAGAUCUGCUCCAGGCCAAGCUAAGCGAUCACAGAUCUGUGCCAGGCCAAGCUAAGCGAUCACAGAUCUGCGCCAGGCCAAGCGAUCACAGAUCUGUGCCAGGCCAAGCUAAGUGAUCACAGAUCUGCGCCAGGCCAAGCUAAGCGAUCACAGAUCUGUGCCAGGCCAAGCUAAGUGAUCACAGAUCUGUGCCAAGCCAAGCUAAGCGAUCACAGAUCUGUGCCAGGCCAAACUAAGCAAUCACAGAUCCGUCCUGAUUCAUACUAUACAAAACAGCUCCCCUCAUCCACAAAUCUGCAAUCCCAAUAAUCUUUCCUUUCUCCUGAAGUGUGCACUCCUUCACAAAUGUAAAAGCAUUGGAUAGGUGGAGGUAUUGACUAGACUAGAGGAUAGGUGGAGGUAUUGACUAGACUAGAGGAUAGGUGGAGGCAUGGACUAGAGGAUAGGUGGAGGUAUGGACCAGACUAGAGGAUUAGGUGGAGGUAUUGACUAGACUAGAGGAUAGGUGGAGGUAUGGACUAGACUAGAGGAUAGGUGGAGGUAUGGACUAGACUAGAGGAUAGGUGGAGGUAUGGACUAGAGGAUAGGUGGAGGUAUGGACUAGACUAGAGGAUAGGUGGAGGUAUGGACUACACUAGAGGAUAGGUGGAGGUAUGGACUACACUAGAGGAUAGGUGGAGGUAUGGACUAGACUAGAGGAUAGGUGGAGGUAUGGACUAGACUAGAGGAUAGGUGGAGGUAUGGACUAGAGGAUAGGUGGAGGUAUGGACUAGACUAGAGGAUAGGUGGAGGUAUGGACCAGACUAGAGGAUAGGUGGAGGUAUGGACUAGACUAGAGGAUAGGUGGAGGUAUGGACUAGACUAGAGGAUAGGUGGAGGUAUGGACUAGACUAGAGGAUAGGUGGAGGUAUGGACUAGACUAGAGGAUAGGUGGAGGUAUGGACUAGAGGAUAGGUGGAGGUAUGGACUAGACUAGAGGAUAGGUGGAGGCAUGGACUAGAGGAUAGGUGGAGGCAUGGACUAGAGGAUAGGUGGAGGUAUUGACUAGACUAGAGGAUAGGUGGAGGUAUGGACUAGACUAGAGGAUAGGUGGAGGUAUGGACUAGACUAGAGGAUAGGUGGAGGUAUGGACUAGAGGAUAGGUGGAGGUAUUGACUGGACUAGAGGAUAGGUGGAUGUAUGGACUAGACUAGAGGAUAGGUGGAGGUAUUGACUAGACUAGAGGAUAGGUGGAGGUAUGGACUAGACUAGAGGAUAGGUGGAGGUAUGGACUAGAGGAUAGGUGGAGGUAUGGACCAGACUAGAGGAUAGGUGGAGGUAUGGACUAGAUUAGAGGAUAGGUGGAGGUAUGGACUAGACUAGAGGAUAGGUGGAGGUAUGGACUAGACUAGAGGAUAGGUGGAGGUAUGGACUAGACUAGAGGAUAGGUGGAGGUAUGGACUAGACUAGAGGAUAGGUGGAGGUAUGGACUAGACUAGAGGAUAGGUGGAGGUAUGGACCAGACUAGAGGAUAGGUGGAGGUAUGGACCAGACUAGAGGAUAGGUGGAGGUAUGGACCAGACUAGAGGAUAGGUGGAGGUAUGGACCAGACUAGAGGAUAGGUGGAGGUAUGGACCAGACUAGAGGAUAGGUGGAGGUAUGGACCAGACUAGAGGAUAGGUGGAGGUAUGGACCAGACUAGAGGAUAGGUGGAGGUAUGGACCAGACUAGAGGAUAGGUGGAGGUAUGGACCAGACUAGAGGAUAGGUGGAGGUAUGGACCAGACUAGAGGAUAGGUGGAGGUAUGGACCAGACUAGAGGAUAGGUGGAGGUAUGGACCAGACUAGAGGAUAGGUGGAGGUAUGGACUAGACUAGAGGAUAGGUGGAGGUAUGGACCAGACUAGAGGAUAGGUGGAGGUAUGGACCAGACUAGAGGAUAGGUGGAGGUAUGGACCAGACUAGAGGAUAGGUGGAGGUAUGGACCAGACUAGAGGAUAGGUGGAGGUAUGGACCAGACUAGAGGAUAGGUGGAGGUAUGGACCAGACUAGAGGAUAGGUGGAGGUAUGGACCAGACUAGAGGAUAGGUGGAGGUAUGGACCAGACUAGAGGAUAGGUGGAGGUAUGGACCAGACUAGAGGAUAGGUGGAGGUAUGGACCAGACUAGAGGAUAGGUGGAGGUAUGGACCAGACUAGAGGAUAGGUGGAGGUAUGGACUAGACUAGAGGAUAGGUGGAGGUAUGGACUAGACUAGAGGAUAGGUGGAGGUAUGGACUAGACUAGAGGAUAGGUGGAGGUAUGGACUAGACUAGAGGAUAGGUGGAGGUAUUGACUAGACUAGAGGAUAGGUGGAGGUAUGGACUAGACUAGAGGAUAGGUGGAGGUAUGGACCAGACUAGAGGAUAGGUGGAGGUAUGGACUAGACUAGAGCGAGUUCCACCAUGAAUUUGCUUUUAUACCCAAGAAAGGAAGUGAACAAGUGCACACUGAUAAAAAGGACAGAUUGUUGGGCCCCGUGCUGAACUCCCUCCUUAGGUUUCUAUUGGGAAGUAGGGAAGGGAUGGGAAGGGAUAGCGGGAGGAGAGGUGUAUCACCGCAGAGCUGGGGGUCAAAGGUCAUUGCACAAUAUUAUAGACUUGCUGUUCUGUAAAAGCCUAAUAUGCAAUGCAUUGUUUAUUAUUACCAUAAUAAAAUAUAUUAUUUUCGUAUUUUUCCAUUUUGUCUGAUGUCAAUCUCUCCCGCUUUGCCAGGGAGCCACAUUGUUGUAUGAUGUAUAUUAUAUUAUACAUGUGUAAUAAAUAAGUCAUAUUAAUAAUAAUCGUGUUGAGAAAUGAAUCCCAUGUAGUCUUCUUCAUCAUGUUGGUCUGAUAAUAGUACAUGGAUGACGACACCUAAUAAAACACUUGUUUGUA
This is a long non-coding RNA of Oncorhynchus keta (chum salmon), 4937 nucleotides long. RefSeq lists it as uncharacterized. The transcript has 6 exons. NCBI's taxonomy places the organism in Eukaryota, Metazoa, Chordata, Actinopteri, Salmoniformes, Salmonidae. The record is from RefSeq and is a predicted model, not a curated record.